This 253-nucleotide ribosomal RNA is filed under the name uncultured bacterium. Its description in RNAcentral is "partial 16S ribosomal RNA". It matches the Rfam family "Bacterial small subunit ribosomal RNA", at positions 524 to 776 of the family's 1533-position model. The record is from RNAcentral.
UACGAAGGGUGCAAGCGUUACUCGGAAUUACUGGGCGUAAAGCGUGCGUAGGUGGUUUGUUAAGUCUGAUGUGAAAGCCCUGGGCUUAACCUGGGAAUUGCAUUGGAUACUGGCAGGCUAGAGUGCGGUGGAGGAUGGCGGAAUUCCCGGUGUAGCAGUGAAAUGCGUAGAGAUCGGGAGGAACAUCUGUGGCGAAGGCGGCCAUCUGGACCAGCACUGACACUGAGGCACGAAAGCGUGGGGAGCAAACAGG